UCGCUUCAUGCAAUUGGCAAAUAUAACAGCAAAGGAGAAUAUUUGGUGCAUAAAGUUUAUAUUUGCUCUAAUCUGAAAUAUCCUUUCGGACUACAAUACCAUCAUCAAAUAGCGGGCUGCAACAACACAAAUAAUAUCCUGCAAAGUUUUCCAAGUUUUUCCCUUAUGCAACAGGGUCAGCCCAAAGAAGGGGAGCAUUACUGGUUGUAGUCG
RNAcentral lists this long non-coding RNA (213 nucleotides) under Setaria italica (foxtail millet). RNAcentral's name for it is "long non-coding RNA (SITA_LNC002339)". Lineage: Eukaryota; Viridiplantae; Streptophyta; Magnoliopsida; Poales; Poaceae. The record is from RNAcentral.